This 499-nucleotide ribosomal RNA is filed under the name uncultured bacterium. Its description in RNAcentral is "partial 16S ribosomal RNA". It matches the Rfam family "Bacterial small subunit ribosomal RNA", at positions 29 to 523 of the family's 1533-position model. The record is from RNAcentral.
AUUGAACGCUGGCGGAAUGCUUUACACAUGCAAGUCGAGCGGCAGCGCGGGGCAACCUGGCGGCGAGCGGCGAACGGGUGAGUAAUGCAUCGGAACAUGUCCAAGUCGUGGGGGAUAGCCCGGCGAAAGCCGGAGUAAUACCGCAGAAGCCCGGGAGGGCAAAGCAGGGGACCGCAAGGCCUUGCGCGAUUGGGUUGGCCGAUGUACGAUUAGCUAGUUGGUGAGGUAAAGGCUUACCAAGGCGGUGAUCGGUAGCUGGUCUGAGAGGAUGAUCAGCGACACUGGGACUGAGACACGGCCCAGACUCGUACGGGAGGCAGCAGUGGGGAAUUUUGGACAAUGGGGGCAACCCUGAUCCAGCCAUUCCGCGUGAGUGAAGAAGGCCUUCGGGUUGUAAAGCUCUUUUGUCCGGAGCGAAACGGUACGGGUGAAUAUCCCGUGCUACUGACGGUACCGGAAGAAUAAGCACCGGCUAACUACGUGCCAGCAGCCGCCGUAA